GGGUACUCGAGCGGCGAACGGGUGAGUAACACGUGAGUAAUCUGCCCUGCGCUCUGGGAUAGCCACCGGAAACGGUGAUUAAUACCGGAUAGGACCACUUCACGCAUGUGAUGGUGGUGGAAAGUUUUUUCGGCGCAGGAUGUGCUCGCGGCCUAUCAGCUUGUUGGUGAGGUAACGGCUCACCAAGGCUUUGACGGGUAACCGGCCUGAGAGGGUGACCGGUCACACUGGGACUGAGACACGGCCCAGACUCCUACGGGAGGCAGCAGUGGGGAAUAUUGGACAAUGGGCGGAAGCCUGAUCCAGCAACGCCGCGUGAGGGAUGACGGCCUUCGGGUUGUAAACCUCUUUCAGUACCGACGAAGCGCAAGUGACGGUAGGUACAGAAGAAGGACCGGCCAACUACGUGCCAGCAGCCGCGGUAAUACGUAGGGUCCGAGCGUUGUCCGGAAUUAUUGGGCGUAAAGGGCUCGUAGGCGGUUUGUCGCGUCGGGAGUGAAAACACCGGGCUUAACUCGGUGCUUGCUUUCGAUACGGGCAGACUAGAGGUAUGCAGGGGAGAAUGGAAUUCCUGGUGUAGCGGUGAAAUGCGCAGAUAUCAGGAGGAACACCGGUGG
This 617-nucleotide ribosomal RNA is filed under the name uncultured Actinomycetes bacterium. RNAcentral's name for it is "bacterial SSU rRNA". It matches the Rfam family "Bacterial small subunit ribosomal RNA", at positions 85 to 715 of the family's 1533-position model. The record is from RNAcentral. Lineage: Bacteria; Bacillati; Actinomycetota; Actinomycetes.